Molecule: unclassified non-coding RNA, 214 nt
Filed under: Hevea brasiliensis (rubber tree)
Lineage: Eukaryota; Viridiplantae; Streptophyta; Magnoliopsida; Malpighiales; Euphorbiaceae
Rfam family: Bacterial large subunit ribosomal RNA
Source: RNAcentral
AUCACUCUUGGGGGUAGAGCACUGUCAUGGCUAGGGGGCCGCUUAAGGCUUACCAAACCAUAGCAAACUCCGAAUACCGAGAAGUGCGAGCAUGGGAGACAGACGGUGGGUGCUAACGUCCAUCGUCAAGAGGGAAACAACCCAGACCGCCAGCUAAGGUCCCAAAUUACAGUUAAGUGGCAAACGAAGUGAGAAGGCACAAACAGCCAGGAGG